GACGAACGCUGGCGGCGUGCCUAACACAUGCAAGUCGAACGGAGAAUUAGCAAUAAUUCUUAGUGGCGAACGGGUGAGUAACGCGUAGACAACCUACCCUUUAGAUGGGGACAACACCGCGAAAGUGGUGCUAAUACCGAAUAUUGCUUGAGAAGCGCAUGCUUUUCAAACUAAAGAUGGCCUCUAUUUAUAAGCUAUCGCUAAAGAAUGGGUUUGGGUCUGAUUAGCUAGUUGGUGAGAUAAAAGCUCACCAAGGCAACGAUCAGUAGCCGGUCUGAGAGGAUGAACGGCCACACUGGGACUGAGACACGGCCAAGACUCCUACGGGAGGCAGCAGUGGGGAAUCUUCCGCAAUGGACGAAAGUCUGACGGAGCAACGCCGCGUGAGUGAUGAAGGUUUUCGGAUCGUAAAACUCUGUUGUUAAGGACGAAUGUAUAGAUUGUGAAUAACGGUUUAUAAUGACGGUACUUAACGAGGAAGCCACGGCUAACUACGUGCCAGCCGCCGCGGUAA
Molecule: ribosomal RNA, 514 nt
Filed under: uncultured bacterium
Lineage: Bacteria
Description: partial 16S ribosomal RNA
Rfam family: Bacterial small subunit ribosomal RNA
Source: RNAcentral